Molecule: non-coding RNA, 113 nt
Organism: Annulohypoxylon bovei var. microspora
Lineage: Eukaryota; Fungi; Ascomycota; Sordariomycetes; Xylariales; Hypoxylaceae
Source: the annotation of a GenBank genome assembly
GGCACGAUGUCGGAGUGGUUAACGAGUGAGACUUGAAUUCCAAGAAUUUCCUAAUUCUUGUGUAAGGUGAUCUCAUGCCUUCGGGCGCGCAGGUUCGAAUCCUGCUCGUGUCG